RNAcentral lists this ribosomal RNA (253 nucleotides) under uncultured bacterium. RNAcentral's name for it is "partial 16S ribosomal RNA". It matches the Rfam family "Bacterial small subunit ribosomal RNA", at positions 524 to 776 of the family's 1533-position model. The record is from RNAcentral.
UACAGAGGGUGCGAGCGUUAAUCGGAAUUACUGGGCGUAAAGCGUGCGUAGACGGUUACAUAAGUCGGGUGUGAAAUCCCCAGGCUCAACCUGGGAACUGCAUUCGAAACUGCCAGCCUUGAGUGGUGGAGAGGGAAGUGGAAUUCCUGGUGUAGAGGUGAAAUUCGUAGAUAUCAGGAGGAACACCAGUGGCGAAGGCGGCUUCCUGGACACCAACUGACGCUGAGACGCGAAAGCGUGGGGAGCAAACAGG